Molecule: non-coding RNA, 248 nt
Filed under: Pediculus humanus corporis (human body louse)
Lineage: Eukaryota; Metazoa; Arthropoda; Insecta; Psocodea; Pediculidae
Source: RNAcentral
GCCGGGAGUGGUGGGGUACUCCUGUAAUCCCAACUACUUGGAGGGAAGGUGUAGAGGAUGUUUUAACGACGGGAAUUCUGGGGUAAAUCUUCAACUUGGAUGCCGUGGGGGGAGCCUGAGGUGGCCAGGUUGAGUCUGAAAAGGGGAAAAAUCAGGGCAAAAGUCAUCGAGUUGGGAGUCGUGGGUUCAAAUCCUGGGAGUGGGAGUUCGAUUUCACCUCGUUCAAACAAGAACAGACCUGUACCUAA